CUAUGACACUGGAGCUAUCACAGUACAACAGAAUAGGGCCAUCAAUAGAAGGUGUAACUUUUAGCUCGAUGAUGAAAUUUUACAACCACACCUUCUCCUUUACAGCAUCCAACGCAGCAAUGUAUUUCACUUUACAUACAGAAUGGCCGUAAUAUGUUGCUUGAAAUUUUUUCAGCAAAUAGCUCCUCCAUUUAGAGUAAAUACAUAGUCUG
RNAcentral lists this long non-coding RNA (212 nucleotides) under Elaeis guineensis (African oil palm). RNAcentral's name for it is "long non-coding RNA (EGUI_LNC070043)". Lineage: Eukaryota; Viridiplantae; Streptophyta; Magnoliopsida; Arecales; Arecaceae. The record is from RNAcentral.